AGUGAACGCUGGCGGCAGGCCUAAUACAUGCAAGUCGAACGGCAGCACAGUAAGAGUUCGCCUCUACGGGUGGCGAGUGGCGGACGGGUGAGGAAUACAUCACAAUCCUCUUAUUCGUGGGGGACUUCGUAGGGCAACUUAUGCUAACACCUCAUAUGAUCUACGGGUGAAUUCAGUGGUUCAUCGCACUUUUCGUGAUUCAUUGAGAUGAUGUCGGAUUAGCUAGUUGGGAAGGUAAAGGCACACCAAGGCAACGAUACGUAGCCGAUCUGAGAGGGUGAUCGGCCACACUGGAACUGAGACACGGUCCAGACUCCUACGGGAGGCAGCAGUAGGGAAUCUUCGGCAAUGGGCGAAAGCCUGACGGAGCAAUGCCGCGUGAGUGAUGAAGGUCUUCGGAUUGUAAAACUCUUUUAUUAGGGAAGAACAACUGUGGAAGAAACCACGGAUGUUCUGACGGUACCCAAACAGAAAGCACCGGCUAACUACGUG
This 492-nucleotide ribosomal RNA is filed under the name uncultured bacterium. Its description in RNAcentral is "partial 16S ribosomal RNA". It matches the Rfam family "Bacterial small subunit ribosomal RNA", at positions 29 to 507 of the family's 1533-position model. The record is from RNAcentral.